RNAcentral lists this unclassified non-coding RNA (170 nucleotides) under uncultured Borrelia sp. RNAcentral's name for it is "partial 5S-23S ribosomal intergenic spacer". Lineage: Bacteria; Pseudomonadati; Spirochaetota; Spirochaetia; Spirochaetales; Borreliaceae. The record is from RNAcentral.
AUUUUAUUUUUAUGUUUUUUAAAUAUUGGUGUUUUUGAAUGUGUUGUUUAAAUAACAUAAAAAAUAAAAUAUAUAUUGACAUGUAUUAAACAAAGAUAUAUAUUAUUUUAUGUUGUAUAAAUAAAUUGGCAAAAUAGAGAUGGAAGAUAAAAAUAUGGUCAAAGUAAUAA